UACGUAGGGGGCGAGCGUUGUCCGGGAUGACUGGGCGUAAAGGGCGUGUAGGCGGCUUUUUAAGUCUGGAGUGAAAGUCCUGUUUUCAAGAUGGGAAUUGCUUUGGAUACUGGAGAGCUUGAGUGCAGAAGAGGUAAGCGGAAUUCCCAGUGUAGCGGUGAAAUGCGUAGAGAUUGGGAGGAACACCAGUGGCGAAGGCGGCUUACUGGGCUGUAACUGACGCUGAGGCGCGAAAGCGUGGGGAGCGAAC
This 250-nucleotide ribosomal RNA is filed under the name uncultured prokaryote. RNAcentral describes it as "partial 16S ribosomal RNA". It matches the Rfam family "Bacterial small subunit ribosomal RNA", at positions 524 to 773 of the family's 1533-position model. The record is from RNAcentral.